Molecule: ribosomal RNA, 256 nt
Filed under: uncultured bacterium
Lineage: Bacteria
Description: partial 16S ribosomal RNA
Rfam family: Bacterial small subunit ribosomal RNA
Source: RNAcentral
CGUAGGGGCGUAGCGUUGUCCGGAAUCAUUGGGCGUAAAGAGCGUGUAGGCGGCCCGGUAAGUCCGCUGUGAAAGUCGGGGGCUCAACCCUCGAAUGCCGGUGGAUACUGUCGGGCUAGAGUGCGGAAGAGGCGAGUGGAAUUCCUGGUGUAGCGGUGAAAUGCGCAGAUAUCAGGAGGAACACCAAUUGCGAAGGCAGCUCGCUGGGGACGUAACUGACGCUGAGACGCGAAAGCGUGGGGGAGCAAACAGGAUU